AACGAACGCUGGCGGCAUGCCUAACACAUGCAAGUCGAACGAGACCUUCGGGUCUAGUGGCGCACGGGUGCGUAACGCGUGGGAACCUGCCCUUAGGUUCGGAAUAACUCCCCGAAAGGGGUGCUAAUACCGGAUAAUGUCUUCGGACCAAAGAUUUAUCGCCUUUGGAUGGGCCCGCGUUGGAUUAGCUAGUUGGUAGGGUAAAAGCCUACCAAGGCGACGAUCCAUAGCUGGUCUGAGAGGAUGAUCAGCCACACUGGGACUGAGACACGGCCCAGACUCCUGCGGGAGGCAGCAGUGGGGGAUAUUGGACAAUGGGCGAAAGCCUGAUCCAGCAAUGCCGCGUGAGUGAUGAAGGCCUUAGGGUUGUAAAGCUCUUUUACCCGGGAUGAUAAUGACAGUACCGGGAGAAUAAGCUCCGGCUAACUCCGUG
This 433-nucleotide ribosomal RNA is filed under the name uncultured bacterium. RNAcentral's name for it is "partial 16S ribosomal RNA". It matches the Rfam family "Bacterial small subunit ribosomal RNA", at positions 29 to 507 of the family's 1533-position model. The record is from RNAcentral.